This 302-nucleotide ribosomal RNA is filed under the name uncultured bacterium. RNAcentral describes it as "partial 16S ribosomal RNA". It matches the Rfam family "Bacterial small subunit ribosomal RNA", at positions 508 to 809 of the family's 1533-position model. The record is from RNAcentral.
GCAGCCGCCGCGGUAAUACAGAGGGUGCGAGCGUUAAUCGGAUUUACUGGGCGUAAAGCGUGCGUAGGCGGCUUCUUAAGUCGGAUGUGAAAUCCCUGAGCUUAACUUAGGAAUUGCAUUCGAUACUGGGAAGCUAAAGUAUGGGAGAGGAUGGUAGAAUUCCAGGUGUAGCGGUGAAAUGCGUAGAGAUCUGGAGGAAUACCGAUGGCGAAGGCAGCCAUCUGGCCUAAUACUGACGCUGAGGUACGAAAGCAUGGGGAGCAAACAGGAUUAGAUACCCCCGUAGUCCCUGUCUCUUAUAA